RNAcentral lists this long non-coding RNA (384 nucleotides) under Chloebia gouldiae (Gouldian finch). Its description in RNAcentral is "Erythrura gouldiae (Gouldian finch) lncRNA (ENSEGOG00005016896.1)". Lineage: Eukaryota; Metazoa; Chordata; Aves; Passeriformes; Passeridae. The record is from RNAcentral.
GCCGCGCUGGGAGAGCGCCGGGGGAACGCCGGGAGAACAUCGGGAAAACGCCGGGAGAACACCGGGAAAACGUCGGGAGAACAUCGGGAGAACACCGAGAGAACACCGGGAGAAGACCAAGAAUGCGCCAGUGGCUGGAGCCAAGAUGAUGAAGUUCAUACAGUGGGGAAGGGAAUGUGUUGAAGAGUCCUGCAGAAGCUGAAGCUGAGAACCCAGCUGAGUUUGGAUGAAGGACAAUUCCAGCACAACAGCACUGCUCCUUUCUCCCAUUUGAAGAGAAAAAUAGAUGAUAAAAUAAUGACUGCGAUAGAGGCCAUCAGCUCUGAGUACAUGAAGACACUCCCAACUUUUUGUAACCUGACAGCCUCUGCUGUUCCUGCCUAA